Molecule: ribosomal RNA, 399 nt
Filed under: uncultured bacterium
Lineage: Bacteria
Description: bacterial SSU rRNA
Rfam family: Bacterial small subunit ribosomal RNA
Source: RNAcentral
GAGUUUGAUCAUGGCUCAGGACGAACGCUGGCGGCAUGCUUAACACAUGCAAGUGGAGCGACGAACCAGGCUUCGGCCUGGGGCAAAGCCGCGAACGGGUGAGUAACACGUGGGUAACCUGCCUCGAUGACCGGGACAACCCGAGGAAACUCGGGCUAAUACCGGAUGUGCCCACACCACAUCAGUGGUGUGAGUAAAGAUAGCUUCGGCCUUCGCAUCGAGAUGGGCCCGCGGCGCAUUAGCUUGCUGGUGGGUAACGGCCUACCAAGGCGACGAUGCGUAGCUGGUCUGAGAGGACGAUCAGCCACACUGGGACUGAGACACGGCCCAGACUCCUACGGUAGGCAGCAGUGGGAAUCUUGCGCAAUGCGCGAAAGCGUGACGCAGCAAUGCCGCGUA